UUGUAACGGUUGUUCCAUCGCCGGGUAUUUAUAUCAGGAGGAAAGUCCGGGCAACACAGAGCGUCUUGCUUCCUAACGGGAAGGGCACAUCUUUGAUGUGUACGGAAAGUGCCACAGAAAACAAACUACCCGGAUUGCUUGCGGUUCGGGAAAAGGUGAAAACGUGAGGUAAGAGCUCACGGCUUUGUAUGGCAACAUGCAUCGCGGUAAACCCCAGGAGUUGAAAGACCAAAUAUGCUGGCGACUGAAGGCUGCUCGUCUUAGUUUUGCUUCGCAAAUGCGCCAGCGGGUAGGUCGUUUGAUCAUGUCAGCGAUGACAUGGCUAGAUAAAUGAUGGAAGCCCUCUUUGGGUGACAGAACCCGGCUUACAGACCUUAUAAAAGA
Molecule: RNase P RNA, 384 nt
Filed under: Arcticibacter pallidicorallinus
Lineage: Bacteria; Pseudomonadati; Bacteroidota; Sphingobacteriia; Sphingobacteriales; Sphingobacteriaceae
Description: Bacterial RNase P class A
Rfam family: Bacterial RNase P class A
About the family: Ribonuclease P (RNase P) is a ubiquitous endoribonuclease, found in archaea, bacteria and eukarya as well as chloroplasts and mitochondria. Its best characterised activity is the generation of mature 5'-ends of tRNAs by cleaving the 5'-leader elements of precursor-tRNAs.
Source: Rfam by way of RNAcentral